RNAcentral lists this ribosomal RNA (497 nucleotides) under uncultured bacterium. RNAcentral describes it as "partial 16S ribosomal RNA". It matches the Rfam family "Bacterial small subunit ribosomal RNA", at positions 28 to 507 of the family's 1533-position model. The record is from RNAcentral.
GAUGAACGCUGGCGGCGUGCCUAAUACAUGCAAGUCGAGCGAACGGACGAGAAGCUUGCUUCUCUGAUGUUAGCGGCGGACGGGUGAGUAACACGUGGAUAACCUACCUAUAAGACUGGGAUAACUUCGGGAAACCGUAGCUAAUACCGGAUAAUAUUUUGAACCGCAUGGUUCAAAAGUGAAAGACGGUCUUGCUGUCACUUAUAGAUGGAUCCGCGCUGCAUUAGCUAGUUGGUAAGGUAACGGCUUACCAAGGCAACGAUGCAUAGCCGACCUGAGAGGGUGAUAGGCCACACUGGAACUGAGACACGGUCCAGACUCCUACGGGAGGCAGCAGUAGGGAAUCUUCCGCAAUGGGCGAAAGCCUGACGGAGCAACGCCGCGUGAGUGAUGAAGGUCUUCGGAUCGUAAAACUCUGUUAUUAGGGAAGAACAUAUGUGUAGGUAACUGUGCACAUCUUGACGGUACCUAAUCAGAAAGCCACGGCUAACUACGUG